GACGAACGCUGGCGGCGUGCUUAACACAUGCAAGUCGAACGGUAAGGCUCCAGCUUGCUGGGGUACACGAGUGGCGAACGGGUGAGUAACACGUGGGUGACCUGCCCUGCACUUCGGGAUAAGCCUGGGAAACUGGGUCUAAUACCGGAUAGGACCGCACCGUGAGGGUGUGGUGGAAAGUUUUUUCGGUGUGGGAUGGGCCCGCGGCCUAUCAGCUUGUUGGUGGGGUAAUGGCCUACCAAGGCGGCGACGGGUAGCCGGCCUGAGAGGGUGGACGGCCACAUUGGGACUGAGACACGGCCCAGACUCCUACGGGAGGCAGCAGUGGGGAAUAUUGCACAAUGGGCGGAAGCCUGAUGCAGCGACGCCGCGUGGGGGAUGACGGCCUUCGGGUUGUAAACUCCUUUCACCAUCGACGAAGGGUUUCUGACGGUAGAUGGAGAAGAAGCACCGGCUAACUACGUGCCAGCAGCCGCGGUAAUACGUAGGGUGCGAGCGUUGUCCGGAAUUACUGGGCGUAAAGAGCUCGUAGGUGGUUUGUCGCGUCGUCUGUGAAAUUCCGGGGCUUAACUCCGGGCGUGCAGGCGAUACGGGCAUAACUUGAGUACUGUAGGGGAGACUGGAAUUCCUGGUGUAGCGGUGAAAUGCGCAGAUAUCAGGAGGAACACCGGUGGCGAAGGCGGGUCUCUGGGCAGUAACUGACGCUGAGGAGCGAAAGCAUGGGGAGCGAACAGGAUUAGAUACCCUGGUAGUCCAUGCCGUAAACGGUGGGCGCUAGGUGUGGGUUUCCUUCCACGGGAUCCGUGCCGUAGCUAACGCAUUAAGCGCCCCGCCUGGGGAGUACGGCCGCAAGGCUAAAACUCAAAGGAAUUGACGGGGGCCCGCACAAGCGGCGGAGCAUGUGGAUUAAUUCGAUGCAACGCGAAGAACCUUACCUGGGCUUGACAUAUACAGGAUCGCGCCAGAGAUGGUGUUUCCCUUGUGGCUUGUAUACAGGUGGUGCAUGGUUGUCGUCAGCUCGUGUCGUGAGAUGUCGGGUUAAGUCCCGCAACGAGCGCAACCCUUGUCUUAUGUUGCCAGCACGUUGUGGUGGGGACUCGUAAGAAACUGCCGGGGUUAACUCGGAGGAAGGUGGGGAUGACGUCAAAUCAUCAUGCCCCUUAUGUCCAGGGCUUCACACAUGCUACAAUGGUCGGUACAGUGGGUUGCCAGUCCGUGAGGGCGAGCUAAUCCCGCAAAGCCGGUCUCAGUUCGGAUCGGGGUCUGCAACUCGACCCCGUGAAGUCGGAGUCGCUAGUAAUCGCAGAUCAGCAACGCUGCGGUGAAUACGUUCCCGGGCCU
Molecule: ribosomal RNA, 1341 nt
Filed under: uncultured bacterium
Lineage: Bacteria
Description: partial 16S ribosomal RNA
Rfam family: Bacterial small subunit ribosomal RNA
Source: RNAcentral